AUAACCAUUCAACACUUUGUGGAAGAAACGGCCCGCUGCACCUCGCUGGGACUCGAAGCAUCUUGAGCGUGAUUGUGUUUGUUUAUUUAUUGUGUUGUGAAGCGCGCAGCGGUUUGAUUUAAUGUGUGUAUUCAUUUCUUUUUAGCAGCACCCUGACGGAGACGCGUGCGUCGCGCGGCUUCCACUCGCCGGGAACAGUUGGGGGUUUUAUGGAGGGCAGUCUGGCUGUUUGGACAGACUUCUUCCAGGAGGAGCGGAAGGACUGAUCGGCUUCCCGGAGCCGCAGUGUAAUUAAAAGCGGAUAUUUAGGUGCAGGUGGGUGAACAGAGCGAGAUUAGGCGAGGGGCGGGGCUAGUGUUGACAGUGGCACGCUUUAAUGAGUCCUGGCUGGAGUCCAGCUCCGUUUCCCGCACGGAGCAUCAGCAGGUUUCAUCCUAGUUUGGACGGAACCGCUCCAGAGCCGGUGCGCGCGUUUCCUGCCGCUCACAGGGGAAUGAACCAUAGACCCCCCGCUGAGAGAAAAGGGGAAAGUCGCUGAGUGAUGCAUUCAGCCGCUCUGAAGGCGUAACUGGGCCGAUUCCUCCAGGGUCCAACUGGACCCGCCAGACGUGGGAAUGUGCACGGCCGAGUCCAAAGUGGGGGUUUCUAUCAAACACGAGGGCCACUGACGGAGACAGAGACAGAAAAUCAAAGACAGCCAUCGCCUGCUGAAACACACUGCAGCGGGAACGAGUCAAAGCAGAGUCAAGUCAAUCGCACGCAGUUAAUUAUUCAUCCAAUAGCGUCGUCCUUCUUCUUGGAGAGUGCGAUGAGCUGGAUCCUUAAGACGAGGAGUCUGUUGGGUCACACCGCCUCCAGGGAGCAUCCAGCGCAAACUGGCUUUGUGUUCUUCAGUUUCCAUUAUUGUGGACUCCUUUAUAUCAGGUUUUUGAUUUUUGAUGCAGCAGCAGUUCUGCUGAACUAUCUGUGUUUUUAUUUUGGUUCCAAAAUGUGCUUUUGUUAGUUUCAACAUUUCACUAUCUGAGAUGAUUAAUAAUUCAAAUGACAUUAAUCUGGCCCCGUGUGAGGGUUCAAGGUUUAAGGACACACAAACAAGUAGAACAAUGUACCCGUUCAGUGUCCUAGUGCGUUUCCUUUUGGACCAUAAUUAGAAAUAUUAAAUGAAGGUUAAUUGGAGUGCGGCUCCUGCAUUCGAGGUUGUGGUGCAGCUGCUCAGUGCCACAGCUGCUUUGUGCUGCAGAGGACGACAUAUUGUGUAGUUUUAUGAGCAAUUAAGAGUUUGCUGUUGUUUAAUGAGUUUAAAGCUACAGAUUGUCCAACUGUGUGAAUAAAUAUAAAUAUAAUGCAUUAUAAUAAUGUCUA
RNAcentral lists this long non-coding RNA (1362 nucleotides) under Betta splendens (Siamese fighting fish). Its description in RNAcentral is "lncRNA (ENSBSLG00000014463.1)". Lineage: Eukaryota; Metazoa; Chordata; Actinopteri; Anabantiformes; Osphronemidae. The record is from RNAcentral.